GAUGAGCGCUAGCGGGAGGCCUAACACAUGCAAGCCGAGCGGUAUUUGUUCUUCGGAACAGAGAGAGCGGCGCACGGGUGCGGAACACGUGUGCAACCUGCCUUUAUCUGGGGGAUAGCCUUUCGAAAGGAAGAUUAAUACCCCAUAAUAUAUUGAGUGGCAUCAUUUGAUAUUGAAAACUCCGGUGGAUAGAGAUGGGCACGCGCAAGAUUAGAUAGUUGGUGAGGUAACGGCUCACCAAGUCAAUGAUCUUUAGGGGGCCUGAGAGGGUGAUCCCCCACACUGGUACUGAGACACGGACCAGACUCCUACGGGAGGCAGCAGUGAGGAAUAUUGGACAAUGGGUUAGCGCCUGAUCCAGCCAUCCCGCGUGAAGGACGACGGCCCUAUGGGUUGUAAACUUCUUUUGUAUAGGGAUAAACCUACUCUCGUGAGAGUAGCUGAAGGUACUAUACGAAUAAGCACCGGCUAACUCCGUG
Molecule: ribosomal RNA, 479 nt
Filed under: uncultured bacterium
Lineage: Bacteria
Description: partial 16S ribosomal RNA
Rfam family: Bacterial small subunit ribosomal RNA
Source: RNAcentral